AUCGCUUCUCGGCCUUUUGGCUAAGAUCAAGUGUAGUAUCUGUUCUUAUCAGUUUAAUAUCUGAUACGCCCCCUAUCUGGGGGCCAUAUAUUAAAUGGAUUUUUAGAACAGGAAUAUGGAAGAAGAGCUUGCACUGUCCACUCCACGCAUUGACCUGGUAUUGCAGUACCUCCAGGACCGGUGCACCAAAA
Small nuclear RNA from Leptobrachium leishanense (Leishan spiny toad), 191 nucleotides. Its record names the gene U2. It matches the Rfam family "U2 spliceosomal RNA". From Rfam's summary of the family: U2 is a small nuclear RNA (snRNA) component of the spliceosome (involved in pre-mRNA splicing). Complementary binding between U2 snRNA (in an area lying towards the 5' end but 3' to hairpin I) and the branchpoint sequence (BPS) of the intron results the bulging out of an unpaired adenosine, on the BPS, which initiates a nucleophilic attack at the intronic 5' splice site, thus starting the first of two transesterification reactions that mediate splicing. The record is from Ensembl. NCBI's taxonomy places the organism in Eukaryota, Metazoa, Chordata, Amphibia, Anura, Megophryidae.